AACACUUUUUAAAGAAGUCCAGAGAGGUUUCAAAGGGUGAAAAGGUUCGAUCUGUGUUUCGUGCGCUUUUUUAUAAAAUCACGGACCCAGUCUAACCAGCAUCCUUAACUCAGGAUGCUGGUUUUUUUAU
Molecule: regulatory RNA element, 130 nt
Organism: Pontibacillus chungwhensis BH030062
Lineage: Bacteria; Bacillati; Bacillota; Bacilli; Caryophanales; Bacillaceae
Rfam family: PyrR binding site
About the family: This family represents the PyrR binding site and terminator structure. This RNA structure is found upstream of a variety of genes involved in pyrimidine biosynthesis and transport. The alignment also includes a portion of the antiterminator structure.
Source: Rfam